Molecule: non-coding RNA, 253 nt
Organism: Caenorhabditis elegans
Lineage: Eukaryota; Metazoa; Nematoda; Chromadorea; Rhabditida; Rhabditidae
Source: Ensembl
AAUGACAAGAGAGUGGCCAGUGGGCAGUGAAGAGUGUCCAACAGAAUACACACACAUUCAUACUUCUUCUAGAUUCACGCGCAGGACCUCCGAUGUCUCCUGAAUCCCCCAGAGGCGAUCUUCCUUUUUGGAAAAAAAGUUGAUUGGAAGAGGAGAGGAGACAGAGAAGAGCAACGGAUUUUGUUUCCUUUUCGAGAGAUUUGUCACCCUCUUUUCAUAUAUUGGCAUCCGAUGGAAAGGGUCCAAUCGGUUG